RNAcentral lists this ribosomal RNA (752 nucleotides) under fungal sp. RNAcentral's name for it is "eukaryotic LSU rRNA". The stretch from base 482 to 752 matches the Rfam family "Eukaryotic large subunit ribosomal RNA", at positions 1 to 269 of the family's 3401-position model. Lineage: Eukaryota; Fungi. The record is from RNAcentral.
UCGCUAGUGACUGCGGAAGGACAUUACCGAGUUUUCGAGCUCCGGCUCGACUCUCCCACCCUUUGUGAACGUACCUCUGUUGCUUUGGCGGCUCCGGCCGCCAAAGGACCUUCAAACUCCAGUCAGUAAACGCAGACGUCUGAUAAACAAGUUAAUAAACUAAAACUUUCAACAACGGAUCUCUUGGUUCUGGCAUCGAUGAAGAACGCAGCGAAAUGCGAUAAGUAAUGUGAAUUGCAGAAUUCAGUGAAUCAUCGAAUCUUUGAACGCACAUUGCGCCCCUUGGUAUUCCGGGGGGCAUGCCUGUUCGAGCGUCAUUACAACCCUCAAGCUCUGCUUGGAAUUGGGCACCGUCCUCACUGCGGACGCGCCUCAAAGACCUCGGCGGUGGCUGUUCAGCCCUCAAGCGUAGUAGAAUACACCUCGCUUUGGAGCGGUUGGCGUCGCCCGCCGGACGAACCUUCUGAACUUUUCUCAAGGUUGACCUCGGAUCAGGUAGGGAUACCCGCUGAACUUAAGCAUAUCAAUAAGCGGAGGAAAAGAAACCAACAGGGAUUGCCUUAGUAACGGCGAGUGAAGCGGCAACAGCUCAAAUUUGAAAGCUGGCCCUUUUAGGGUCCGCAUUGUAAUUUGUAGAGGAUGAUUCGGCGAGGGCUCCUGCCUAAGUCCCCUGGAACGGGGCGUCAUAGAGGGUGAGAAUCCCGUAUGCGGUAGGUUGCCUUAGCCAUGUGAAUCUCCUUCGACGAGUCGAG